UCUCGUUUAUAGGCAGCGGACCGAGUCGAUCGCAAUAUUAUAUAUAUACGUGUAUAGAGACACGCGGCUCGGCGCGAGCGCUCCAUGUACACUACCUUCUCUUUCCUGUGAGGCCCGUCAAGCGCGGCGUUGCUGCAUUACUCACACACACACACACACAAUACCGAACGCGCACACAUAUAGACACGGAGAUCUGCAUCUGUGUAUAUAUACCUUGCCUGUGCAGUGUAGGAGCCCGGGACCUUUUCGCUCUCGACGAGUGCGCGUACUUGGUGUGUCCGUGUGCUGCUAUACUACUGUGCGAGUGAGUGCGAGCUACCAAAAUGGCGGCAAUUUACUCCUACUACGAUCCCUUGUACUAUUGUUAUCGCCGUCUGCACUACGCCGGAUGCUGAGAAAGACUCUCACUGCUCACCGCAGUGAUAACAAUUUUCGUCCUCGUUUGUUCGUCGUCGUCGUCGUUGUUGUUGUUACUUGUUUGUUGUAUAAUAUAUCGAUGUAAUAUAUCUAGUGCUCGCGUGCGAGGUGAGAUAUACCAUUGGAAGCUCUGCAAUUAAAUCGUUAUAUGAAUCGAGCUGUGCGAGUGCGUGUGACAAUCCAAAAAACAAGCGGAAUAUAAAGCCUCUGUUGUUCGUGUGCCAUUAUCACAUAAAAAAAACGACGAGCCUGCUCGAUCAACGAGCAAAGGAAAAAAGAAGAAGAAAAAUCGGCUCUCGAGCUCUCGUCUGCAACGCGAGUGCAUCCAGCGAUUCGUCGUCGUACGCAGAGUGUGAAGAUCGUCUCGUAUUAUAUAUGCGUAUACGCGAGUGUAUGUGUACAUGUGUGCGGCUGAGUUAAUGCAUCGCUGAACACACCUCAAAAAGGGCCUCAACCGAAGGAACGAAUCUUGCCGGUCUCCAUGAUUCGAGGGGAAGCCAGCAAGUUCGUAGCAGUAGUAGUAGAAGAAGAAGAAGCAAGGGAGAAACAGAGGAAAAAGCUGCACGCGUGAGUCGGCGACUACAUCGCCGCUGAGUGAGCGAGAAAGAAGGAAAGAACGGGGCAAAAAACAAUCAUGGAUAAACAAGCGGUGACGAUGCUGCUAUUACUGUCGCUUUUGGCUUUCGCGACACACUUGAGCGAGGCUCACGUGGCGCUCACGUUCCCACGUGCUCGUACUUAUGAUCUCGAUUUUCUCGAUAGCGCCAGGACUCCGGGCCCCUGUGGAAUGCCAAAAGGUGACAUCAAGACUACUCUGCUGGCUGGCAGUAGUUUCAACAUUACUUGGCAUCUCGCCUAUCCACAUAAGGGAGGAUUCAGACUUCAUAUUUUAGAUGCAAUGGGUAGGCAAGCAGUCGACCUCACUCCACGCACCAAGGAAUCUGAUUUCAUUGAAAACGAUGCUACGGCCCAAAGUUAUGCAGUUGAGCUAUCUAAAAACUUUACGUGCACCGAUUGUACCAUUAGAUUGCUUCGCAAAGCCUCAGAGUGGGGAGACAAUUACAUGUUCUGGUCUUGCGCUGACAUUGAUAUUGUCGAGAAAAAGGUAUACAGAGAAACGUGCAGCAAUCACGGCCGUUUCAUUUCGAACCGCUGCAGAUGCGAACGACUGUAUCACGGACCUCGAUGCCAGUACAAGGAGGAAUGCUUGGAUAACGCGGACUGUGGCACGCAGGGUGUCUGCGUCACAAACGUGGCCACGACCUCGCCUGCCAACCACUGCUACUGCCAGGUGGGAUGGUUCGGACCGAACUGCUCGAAACGCUCGCCGGUAAAAAACAUCGACCUCGACCUGGACGCGUACUCGAUGCGACGAUUCUCCAGCGAUUUCACUUUCUAUUGGCGCAUACUCAAGGACACCCAAGAGUUCGAAGGUGUCGCCGUUGUGAACAGCACUACCUGGGUCGGUGUGGGCUGGCGCCCGAGCGACCUCACGAAGAGCUGUCGCGCCAUGCCGGCGAUUCAAGAUCGCAACGCAGCCAAGAAAAGUACUCCCGAGCCGUUGCCGCGACCGGAGCCCAAGAGCGAGCCCGAGCCCGAACCCGAGGCGCACCCCGAGCCGGAGCCCGAACCCGAGCCACACGCCGAGCCAGAGCCCGAGCCCGAACGAACUCAAGUCAGGUCGAAUAACAACAAGCGUUCGGCUAAGCACGAGGCAGUCGUAAACGAUGACGAUGUCACGGUCCAAACCAGCGUGACGUAUCACGUUAGCUCCAAGAAUGGUCGAAAGAAGAGAACGCCAGAGCCAGCGCAAAAACAAAAGACCGGGGAACCAGCCAGCGAGCCCGAACCUACCUCAGAGCCAGAACCUAUAUCCGAGCCAGAGCCAAAUUCCGAACCAGAACCUAGCUCAGAACCCGAACCCAAGUCCGAGCCUGAACCUACCUCGGAACCAGAACCUAAAUCCGAGCCAGAGCCUACGUCUGAACCAGAGCCUAAUUCUGAACCCGAACCAAGUUCAGAGCCAGAACCAAAAUCUGAGCCAGAGCCUACCUCGGAACCAGAACCUAAAUCCGAACCGGAGCCUAACGCAGAACCUGAACCCAACGCAGAGCCCGAACCUAACGCAGAACCAGAGCCCGAAUCCGAGCCCGAACCAAAAUCCGAACCUGAACCUGAACCUAAAUCCGAGCCCGAGCCUAAGUCUGAACCCGAACCCAAAUCGGAACCCGAACCUAAAUCUGAGCCAGAGCCCCAUUCGGGAGGGUCGAAACAGCAAACUAAGGCGAAACAAGGAUCGCCCAAAGAAUCGCUUGGCAAGUACACGCCGAAACAUGAUUUCCAUGCCAUGGACUGUACGGAUAUCGUGAUUGGCUCGGCUCGAGGCAUGGCGCAUCGAAUCGGAGAUUAUUACACGCGCGACAGGUCGACGCCACGUCUCGACUCGUUCUGGGGCGGUAAGGACAGUCUGACCGCUGCCAUGGGAUUCGAGCGAGACGGAGUCACGACAAUAUUAUUUAGGCGGAAACUUGCUGCCGACGAGCACUUCAGUGACCACGAAAUUGCCGACGCAACUAUGCAGGUAAUUUGGGCUAAAGGCCAAGAACCUGGCAAAUACAUUCACCAGCCACCGAGCGGUAUCGAGAAGAGUAAAGUUAGUGUCAAGGACUUUUACAAGACCGAUGAAUUAAAAUAUCACGGACACAGGUCUCAGCGAGGCAUUGCCAGCAUCAACUUUUUUGAGGAUGAGAGUGACAAGAAGAACAGUAGAGAGAAAGACCACGAUGAGUGCAGCGGCGAAUGGAAUUACCCGAAGCAGUGUUCGGUAGAAAAUUACACUUGCGAAUACAGCGUGAGAUGGGUCUACAAUUCGAAAAAGGAGGAGAUAUCGUUCACGAUAGUGACCAAGAACGUCGAUAACUGGACGGGCAUAGGUUUCUCGAAGGACGAAAAAAUGACGAAAACCGACGCCAUUCUUGGAUGGGUCGACAAAACGAGCGGCCGGCCAUUUAUAAGCGACACCUGGAUCGACAGCUACGGGGCUCCAACCCUCGAUUCAUCGCAAGACAUCUACAACACCAGUGGACGCAUCGAACACGGCCAAACGACCCUAAGAUUUACGAGAAAGAGAGUAACCAAAGACGAAAACCGUGACUUAUUCUUCACGGACGAGCAAUGUCUCUACUUGAUGUACCCCAUUAAAGGAGGUUCCUUCCAUCCUGUAAAUAAAAGAAUCGGCAAACAUCAAGAAACGCCGAUAGUGUCGACGCGAAAAUUGUGUUUCAAAUCAACGUCGGUGUGCAAUCUUGAUGAUAAUAAUGAAUUAGCCACACCAGUUCCGCCUACUAGGAUAUUCUACGAUUUCGAAGUCAGACUGACAAAUCUUGGAGUCGGAUACAAUGCUCCACCGCCAGGAACGGACAGUUUCCAGGACAUCUCAAAUACAAUUACCGAUAGUUUCACUCCAGCACUUCAGAAAGUCCCUGGUUUCCAUCAUCUGAAGCUUAGCGAAUUGAAAAACACUGGCGACGACGGCGUUAUCGCGAAAUUCCGCCUAGCCAUGGACAAGAUAAAGGGUCGCAAGAUAACGAUCCCUUCGGAAGACCAUACAGCUGACCGCGCCAAAGCCGUCUUAUCGAAGUCGCUCAGCAGUGGAAAAGUCGGUGCUCUCUCGGUCGACCCGAACUACCUGGUGCUCCGCUCCUAUCAAUCCGAUGCCAACGACUUGGAUAAGGAAGGAAGCGAGAAUACUCUCGCGUCUGGACUAUUGAUAGGCCCCACGAAGCUCUACAUCGUCAUCGGCUGCUUCGUGGCUCUUUUGCUUGUCGCUCUCCUUCAAGUUACCUGCACUAUUUACAAAACUUCGAAGAAGCGCACCACCAAGAGAAUCUACUCGCUGCCCCUGAUGACGACGGCCGCCGCGCCCGUGGCGGCGAAUCCGAUCCACCUGCGCGCGGGUGGCAACGGCACUAGUCACCGGCAGCGACCGGGUGCCAACGGCUACGACAAUCACGCCAUGAGCCAUCAUCAUCAUCAGCAGCACCUCCAUCAUCACCAGCAGCAGCAGCAGCAGCAGCAGCAGCAGCAACUGCAUCACCAGCAGCAGCUCUACUAUCAGCAACAGCAGCAGCAGCUGCACCUGCCGCCCAAUAUGCACAAUUGGUAGUCGAGCGAGAAAGAAAAACGAGCGCAAUUUUUCUCUCGGUUCCAAGAGCUUUUUGUCUUUUUCACAGGACCGACUAAUCGGUAAAAACGGCUGGGUGGAUUACUCGACCUCGGCAAACACUAAUUUCGCCUUCGAAGCCUUCGAAACGG
Molecule: unclassified non-coding RNA, 4731 nt
Filed under: Trichogramma pretiosum
Lineage: Eukaryota; Metazoa; Arthropoda; Insecta; Hymenoptera; Trichogrammatidae
Description: uncharacterized LOC106650527, transcript variant X1
Source: RNAcentral